UUUAUGUUUGCUUUACAUAGCCACAUCCCAUUGUUUUUUAGCAAGAUAUCAUUCGUUCAAACAACAGUUACGCUUAUUUACAGUUGCCAACUGUAAAUAAAUGUCGGCGUAUCAUUAACAAAUAUCACAUUAUCCGCGCUGUUUCGGAAGGAACAAACUUCAGCCUCACGAUGACUCUUUACUUUACUGCUGUACUACUGAGUCUCGCUUGUUUGUCGCAAGUUGCACUCGGGAGUGUGAUCGUAUGCGAGAAUUCGUCCCUCUACUUGUCUUGCCCCUUCUAUCAGAGGAUUUAUGUUGGUACGGCGAAUUAUGGUCGCACGAGGGGGAAAAUUAUCUGCGAUUCAAAGUGGACUCCGAACUACAGAGUAUACUGCAGGUCCGCAACCUCCACCAGCAUUGUCCGGAGAAUGUGCAACGGCAAGACCUUGUGCAAUGUCCCAGCCACCAACCGCGUGUUUGGAGACCCAUGCAUUGGUAUCUUCAAAUAUCUGGAGGUCCAAUACGCAUGCUUUUAAACGUGUUCUACUAUUACAUUUUAAUGGGCUACUUUAUUGUAUUGUACUUAUCUUUGUCCUCUUAAGUUAAUAAAACUUGUGAAACGGAAGGACAUGCGCAAGGUCCCAGCCACCAACAGUGUAUUUGACGACCCAUGCGUGGGUAUCUUUAAAUAUCUGGAGGUCCAAUACACAUGCUUUUGAACAUUUACUCCUGAUAGCGUUUAAUUAGCUUAUUAUUGUAUAUAUAAUUAUCUUUGUUCUAUUAUGUUAAUAAAACAUGUGCAACGGACAGAACUUGUGCGAGGUCUCGAUCAGAAGCAUCGAUUUAGAGACCCGUACCUCUUUAUGCAUACAUAUCUGGUGGUAGAAUACUCAUGCUUUUAAACUUUUGCCCCUGAUGCAUUUGUAAGAGCUAAUUAAUGUAUAUUGUAGUUAUCUUUUUCUCUAUUGUGUUAAUAAAAUGUGCAUCGGAAAUAACUUGUGCAAUGUAUCCGCCAAUAACUUCGUGUUUGGAGAGAUGUAAGUCUAUAUAUUCACAAAUAUCAUACUGUUAGAUAACUUUUAAUGUUCGAAUUAAUGAUAACACCUUGUUUAAGUUUCUUUUCUGACAACAAUGUGCAAAUUACUUCUUUAUGUUCUAAUUUGUUUAUAAACGCUGUUAACCAUGUAGAACACGUAAAACUGAAUAAUAAGAAGCAUUCAA
Long non-coding RNA from Dreissena polymorpha, 1203 nucleotides. RefSeq lists it as uncharacterized. The record is from RefSeq and is a predicted model, not a curated record. NCBI's taxonomy places the organism in Eukaryota, Metazoa, Mollusca, Bivalvia, Myida, Dreissenidae. The transcript is spliced from 2 exons.